AGUUUGAUCCUGGCUCAGGACGAACGCUGGCGGCGUGCCUAAUACAUGCAAGUCGAGCGGAUCUUUCCUUCGGGAAAGGUUAGCGGCGGACGGGUGAGUAACACGUAGGCAACCUGCCUGUAAGAUCGGGAUAACUCACGGAAACGUGUGCUAAAACCGGAUAGGUGAUUUCUCCUCCUGGAGAGAUCAGGAAAGACGGCGCAAGCUGUCACUUACAGAUGGGCCUGCGGCGCAUUAGCUAGUUGGUGAGGUAACGGCUCACCAAGGCGACGAUGCGUAGCCGACCUGAGAGGGUGAACGGCCACACUGGGACUGAGACACGGCCCAGACUCCUACGGGAGGCAGCAGUAGGGAAUCUUCGGCAAUGGACGAAAGUCUGACCGAGCAACGCCGCGUGAGUGAUGAAGGUUUUCGGAUCGUAAAACUCUGUUGCCAGGGAAGAAGGAUGAGGAGAGUAACUGCUCUUCAUUUGACGGUACCUGAGAAGAAAGCCCCGGCUAACUACGUGCCAGCAGCCGCGGUAAUACGUAGGGGGCAAGCGUUGUCCGGAAUUAUUGGGCGUAAAGCGCGCGCAGGCGGUCUUUUAAGUUCGGUGUUUAAACCCAGGGCUCAACCUUGGGUCGCAUCGGGAACUGGGAGACUGGAGUGUAGGAGAGGAAAGUGGAAUUCCACGUGUAGCGGUGAAAUGCG
This 690-nucleotide ribosomal RNA is filed under the name uncultured Paenibacillus sp. RNAcentral's name for it is "bacterial SSU rRNA". It matches the Rfam family "Bacterial small subunit ribosomal RNA", at positions 10 to 690 of the family's 1533-position model. The record is from RNAcentral. Lineage: Bacteria; Bacillati; Bacillota; Bacilli; Caryophanales; Paenibacillaceae.